This 472-nucleotide ribosomal RNA is filed under the name uncultured bacterium. RNAcentral describes it as "bacterial SSU rRNA". It matches the Rfam family "Bacterial small subunit ribosomal RNA", at positions 355 to 825 of the family's 1533-position model. The record is from RNAcentral.
UGGGGAAUUUUGGACAAUGGGCGCAAGCCUGAUCCAGCCAUGCCGCGUGAGUGAAGAAGGCCUUCGGGUUGUAAAGCUCUUUCGGCGGGGACGAGACGGUUCGUGACAACACCACGGACUAAUGACGGUACCCGCAUAAGAAGCACCGGCUAACUACGUGCCAGCAGCCGCGGUAAUACGUAGGGUGCAGGCGUUAAUCGGAAUUACUGGGCGUAAAGCGUGCGCAGGCGGUUUGUUAAGACAGGUGUGAAAUCCCCGGGCUUAACCUGGGAAUUGCGCUUGUAACUGGCGAGCUAGAGGACAAGAGAGAGAAGUGGAAUUCUCGGAGUAGCGGUAAAAUGCGUAGAUCUCGAGAGGAACACCGAUGGCGAAGGCAGCUUCUUGGCUUGUAUCUGACGCUCAAGUGCGAAAGCGUGGGGAGCAAACAGGAUUAGAUACCCUCGUAGUCCCUGAGCGGGCUGGCAAGGCGCAU